This 501-nucleotide unclassified non-coding RNA is filed under the name uncultured Glomus. RNAcentral describes it as "SSU rRNA". It matches the Rfam family "Eukaryotic small subunit ribosomal RNA", at positions 569 to 1078 of the family's 1831-position model. The record is from RNAcentral. Lineage: Eukaryota; Fungi; Glomeromycota; Glomeromycetes; Glomerales; Glomeraceae.
AGCAGCCGCGGUAAUUCCAGCUCCAAUAGCGUAUAUUAAAGUUGUUGCAGUUAAAAAGCUCGUAGUUGAAUUUCGGGAUCAAUAUGUUGGUCGUGCCUCGGUACGUACUAGCAUAUUGGUUUCUCCUUUCUGAAGAACCAUGAUGUCAUUUAUUUGGUGUCGUGGGGAAUCAGGACUGUUACUUUGAAAAAUUAGAGUGUUUAAAGCAGGCUCACGCUUGAAUACAUUAGCAUGGAAUAAUGAAAUAGGACGUUUGAUUCUAUUUUGUUGGUUUCUAGGAUCGACGUAAUGAUUAAUAGGGAUAGUUGGGGGCAUUAGUAUUCAAUUGUCAGAGGUGAAAUUCUUGGAUUUAUUGAAGACUAACUACUGCGAAAGCAUUUGCCAAGGAUGUUUUCAUUAAUCAAGAACGAAAGUUAGGGGAUCGAAGACGAUCAGAUACCGUCGUAGUCUUAACCAUAAACUAUGCCGACUAGGGAUCGGAUGAUGUUAAUUUUUAAUGUA